This is a small nucleolar RNA of Meriones unguiculatus (Mongolian gerbil), 132 nucleotides long. NCBI's taxonomy places the organism in Eukaryota, Metazoa, Chordata, Mammalia, Rodentia, Muridae. The record is from Ensembl.
UCUGCUCCUAGACACGUUGCAGGUGUGGCUGUUGUGUCACUUGUGUGUCAGUAGGUGGCAGAGGGGAGAGAGACUGUGUCUACACUCAGUGUUCUAAUCUGUGAAGAUCUGAAUGAUUAGCAGCCUAGCAUU